UGGGGAAUUUUGGACAAUGGGCGAAAGCCUGAUCCAGCAAUGCCGCGUGUGUGAAGAAGGCCUUCGGGUUGUAAAGCACUUUUGUCCGGAAAGAAAUCCUUGGCUCUAAUACAGUCGGGGGAUGACGGUACCGGAAGAAUAAGCACCGGCUAACUACGUGCCAGCAGCCGCGGUAAUACGUAGGGUGCAAGCGUUAAUCGGAAUUACUGGGCGUAAAGCGUGCGCAGGCGGUUUGCUAAGACCGAUGUGAAAUCCCGGGCUCAACCUGGGAACUGCAUGGUGACUGGCAGGCUAGAGUAUGGCAGGAGGGGGUAGAAUUCCACGUGUGAGCAGUGAAAUGCGUAGAGAUGUGGAGGAAUACCGAUGGCGAAGGCAGCCCC
Molecule: ribosomal RNA, 380 nt
Filed under: uncultured bacterium
Lineage: Bacteria
Description: partial 16S ribosomal RNA
Rfam family: Bacterial small subunit ribosomal RNA
Source: RNAcentral